Unclassified non-coding RNA from Pongo abelii (Sumatran orangutan), 148 nucleotides. It matches the Rfam family "Metazoan signal recognition particle RNA". From Rfam's summary of the family: The signal recognition particle (SRP) is a universally conserved ribonucleoprotein. It is involved in the co-translational targeting of proteins to membranes. NCBI's taxonomy places the organism in Eukaryota, Metazoa, Chordata, Mammalia, Primates, Hominidae. The record is from Ensembl.
GCUGGGCGUGGUGGUGCACGCCUGUAGUCCCAGCUACUCGGGAGGCUGAGGCAGAAGAAUCGCUUGAACCCGGGAGGCAGAGGUUGCAGUGAGCUGAGAUCCCGCCACUGCGCUCCAGCCUGGGUGACAGAGCAAGACUCCGUCUCCA